This 138-nucleotide ribosomal RNA is filed under the name Triticum aestivum (bread wheat). Its description in RNAcentral is "partial small subunit ribosomal RNA". The record is from RNAcentral. Lineage: Eukaryota; Viridiplantae; Streptophyta; Magnoliopsida; Poales; Poaceae.
GUAAUACCUUCCCUGUUCAUUGCAGGUUGGCUAUUUGUUAGUACGGGUUUAGCUUAUGACGUGUUUCGAAGUCUUCGGCCAAACGAGUACUUCAUGGAAUGCCGACAAGGAAUAAACGGCCAUUUUGUUUCUUUAUGA